CACGUAGGGGGCGAGCGUUGUCCGGAUUCAUUGGGCGUAAAGAGCUCGUAGGCGGCUCAGCAAGUCGGGUGUGAAACCUCCAGGCUCAACCUGGAGACGCCACUCGAUACUGCUGUGGCUAGAGUCCAGUAGGGGAGCGUGGAAUUCCUGGUGUAGCGGUGAAAUGCGUAGAUAUCUGGAGGAAUACCGGUGGCGAAGGCGGCAUCCUGGACCGACAUUGACGCUGAGGAGCGAAAGCCAGGGGAGCAAACGGG
Molecule: ribosomal RNA, 254 nt
Filed under: uncultured bacterium
Lineage: Bacteria
Description: partial 16S ribosomal RNA
Rfam family: Bacterial small subunit ribosomal RNA
Source: RNAcentral